RNAcentral lists this long non-coding RNA (599 nucleotides) under Nicotiana benthamiana. RNAcentral describes it as "long non-coding RNA (NBEN_LNC008671)". Lineage: Eukaryota; Viridiplantae; Streptophyta; Magnoliopsida; Solanales; Solanaceae. The record is from RNAcentral.
AGAUAUAUAUAAAAAAUUAUAACCGAAACAAUAAAAUGAACAAAGAGGAAAAAGCAAUGGCAAACUCAGCAGCUACAAGGGGUAGCUAACCAAGAGAAGGGCACAAAUCUGUUUUGCUAUUUGAAGAAUAAAUCUUGUACUAUAAAAGAAAAAAUUGCAGAUAUGAGAGGAUGACAAUUAAAAAACCUUCACAACAGCCAUGAAAUUGGAGCGAGAACUAGACAGAUUAAGAACGACAUCAGCCAUUAUAUUCAGUCGUCAAAAUUUAAAAGUCUAAAUAGAACUGAAACAAAUAGGGGAAAAAAAUAAAUUGGCGAAAAAAUGACGAUAAAGCUACCUGAAAUAUGAGGAAGCUUACCUGAAAUAUGAGGAAGACGAAGAACCGAAGAAGAUCGAAGAAGAAGCUGCGCAGCGCAGGCAAGGUUACCGGGUUAGGGUUAGGCUUCGGUAUAUUGUAAUUGUAUAGCAGUAUAUAUAUAUGCGAAGGGUUAGGUUAGGCAAGCAGCGAAGAGCUAAGGAUAGGGUAGUCAUAUUAUUAUAAAAUAAGGGUAUAUUUGUCUUUGUAAUAUAUCUUAUCGAUUUAUCGAUAAACCGAUANN